CCUGGUGGCUCAGAGGUUAAAGCGUCUGCCUGGAAUGCAGGAGACCCGGGUUCGAUCCCCGGGUCAGGA
This 69-nucleotide transfer RNA is filed under the name Ovis aries (sheep). It matches the Rfam family "tRNA". Rfam says of the family: Transfer RNA (tRNA) molecules are approximately 80 nucleotides in length. Their secondary structure includes four short double-helical elements and three loops (D, anti-codon, and T loops). The record is from Rfam by way of RNAcentral. Lineage: Eukaryota; Metazoa; Chordata; Mammalia; Artiodactyla; Bovidae.